This 406-nucleotide ribosomal RNA is filed under the name uncultured bacterium. RNAcentral describes it as "partial 16S ribosomal RNA". It matches the Rfam family "Bacterial small subunit ribosomal RNA", at positions 30 to 526 of the family's 1533-position model. The record is from RNAcentral.
AUUGAACGCUGGCGGCAGGCCUAACACAUGCAAGUCGAACGAGUGGCGGACGGGCGAGUAAUGCUUGGGCAUCUGGCUUAUGGAGGGGGAUAACUACGGGAAACUGUAGCUAAUACCGCGUACCAUAGGAUGAGCCCAAGUGGGAUUAGGGAGUUGGUGAGGUAAAGGCUCACCAAGCCGACGAUCUCUAGCUGGUCUGAGAGGAUGACCAGCCACACUGGGACUGAGACACGGCCCAGACUCCUACGGGAGGCAGCAGUGGGGAAUAUUGCACAAUGGGGGCAAGCCUGACGCAGCCAUGCCGCGUGAAUGAAGAAGGCCUUAGGGUUGUAAAGUACUUUCGGUAGGGAGGCGUUACCCGCAGAAGAAGCACCGGCUAACUCCGUGCCAGCAGCCGCGGUAAUUC